Hoeflea sp. IMCC20628 is the source of this 121-nucleotide small RNA. It matches the Rfam family "Rhizobiales sRNA Atu_C8". The record is from Rfam. Lineage: Bacteria; Pseudomonadati; Pseudomonadota; Alphaproteobacteria; Hyphomicrobiales; Rhizobiaceae.
GAACAACUUCGCGAACAUUCUCGUGGUAGGACCGCGCAUGGGCAGGGUGGCGUAGCCACCCGGCGAAAGCUCCCAUGCGCGAAACACAGGCUCCUCCGGGGGCCUUUUUUUAUGGCUUAAU